GUGGUCAAGCUAAUAAGGGCUUGCGGAGGAUACCUAGGCACACAGAGGCGAAGAAGGACGUGGUUACCAACGAAAAGCUCCGGGGAGUUGGAAGCAAGCAUUGAGCCGGAGAUGUCCGAAUGGGGGAACCCUAAAAACUGCCUAUUGAAUAUAUAGAUAGGUAAGAGCGAACCGGGCGAACUGAAACAUCUUAGUAGCCCGAGGAAAAGAAAUCAAACGAGAUUCUCCAAGUAGUGGUGAGCGAACGGGGAAGAGCCUAAACCAACAAGCUUGCUUGUUGGGGUAGUGGGACAGCAUGAUGCGAAUCGUAGAGUUAGACGAAGCAUUGAAAAGAUGCACCAGAGAAAGUGAAAGUCUUGUAGUCGAAAACUUGAAGAUAGCUGCUGAAUCCCGAGUAGCAUGGGACACGUGAAAUCCCAUGUGAAUCAGUCUCGACCACGAGAUAAGGCUAAAUACUCCUGUGUGACCGAUAGCGAAACAGUACCGCGAGGGAAAGGUGAAAAGAACCCCAACAAGGGGAGUGAAAAAGAACAUGAAACCGCAAGCCCACAAGCAGUGGGAGGACGAUUAAACGUCUGACCGCGUGCCUGUUGAAGAAUGAGCCGGCGAGUUAUAAGCACUGGUAGGUUAAGUGGAUAGCACGAAGCCAAAGCGAAAGCGAGUCUGAAGAGGGCGAAAUCAGUGUUUAUAGACCCGAACCCUGGUGAUCUAACCAUGACCAGGAUGAAGCUUGGGUAACACCAAGUGGAGGUCCGCACCGACCGAUGUUGAAAAAUCGGCGGAUGAGUUGUGGUUAGGGGUGAAAUGCCAAUCGAACCAGGAGCUAGCUGGUUCUCCCCGAAAUGUGUUGAGGCGCAGCGGUUGUGAAGAACUCGGGGGGUAAAGCACUAUUUCGGUGCGGGCUGCGAGAGCGGUACCAAAUCGAGAUAAACUCUGAAUACCCGAAGAAAACACAGCCAGUGAGACGGUGGGGGAUAAGCUUCAUCGUCAAGAGGGAAACAGCCCAGACCACCAGCUAAGGUCCCCAAAUCAUCGCUAAGUGGCAAAGGAGGUGGGAGUGCAUAGACAACCAGGAGGUUUGCCUAGAAGCAGCCACCCUUGAAAGAGUGCGUAAUAGCUCACUGGUCAAGCGCUCCUGCGCCGAAAAUGAAUGGGACUAAGCGAUGUACCGAAGCUGUGGGAUUACAUU
Molecule: ribosomal RNA, 1189 nt
Filed under: Fischerella thermalis CCMEE 5205
Lineage: Bacteria; Bacillati; Cyanobacteriota; Cyanophyceae; Nostocales; Hapalosiphonaceae
Description: bacterial LSU rRNA
Rfam family: Bacterial large subunit ribosomal RNA
Source: RNAcentral